GACGAACGCUGGCGGCGUGCUUAACACAUGCAAGUCGAACGGCAGCAUAGGUGCUUGCACCUGAUGGCGAGUGGCGAACGGGUGAGUAAUACAUCGGAACGUGCCCAGUCGUGGGGGAUAACGUAGCGAAAGUUACGCUAAUACCGCAUACGAUCUAAGGAUGAAAGCGGGGGACCGUAAGGCCUCGCGCGAUUGGAGCGGCUGAUGUCAGAUUAGGUAGUUGGUGAGGUAAAGGCUCACCAAGCCGACGAUCUGUAGCUGGUCUGAGAGGACGACCAGCCGCACUGGGACUGAGACACGGCCCAGACUCCUACGGGAGGCAGCAGUGGGGAAUUUUGGACAAUGGACGCAAGUCUGAUCCAGCCAUUCCGCGUGCAGGACGAAGGCCUUCGGGUUGUAAACUGCUUUUGUACGGAACGAAAAAGCUCUUACUAAUACUAGGAGUCCAUGACGGUACCGUAAGAAUAAGCACCGGCUAACUACGUGCCAGCAGCCGCAGUAA
RNAcentral lists this ribosomal RNA (502 nucleotides) under uncultured bacterium. Its description in RNAcentral is "partial 16S ribosomal RNA". It matches the Rfam family "Bacterial small subunit ribosomal RNA", at positions 28 to 523 of the family's 1533-position model. The record is from RNAcentral.